CAGGCUUAAAUGGAACUUAAGUGAUGGAUAAACCUAGGGUGGCUUUUGCAGGUGACUGAAUUUUUUCCAAGAUGCUGUGAAAAGAUGUAAGCUUUGUGGUGGCCAGGUGAUUGCUGGGGCCCUUGCCGGGAACCCAGAACGUUAGGUAGGUUUCACUCCUGCUUGAACAUCACCAAAGCAAAAUUGUACCACCUGCUACAAAAAGACCUGAAAUACAAAGCAGCAUGUAUUCAUCGUAUUACUCCAUUCAUUUGAAAAGAUAUUCCCUUGGGAA
Long non-coding RNA from Alligator sinensis (Chinese alligator), 274 nucleotides. RefSeq lists it as uncharacterized. NCBI's taxonomy places the organism in Eukaryota, Metazoa, Chordata, Crocodylia, Alligatoridae. The record is from RefSeq and is a predicted model, not a curated record. The transcript has 3 exons.